GCCAGGAAAAUUUAGGACGCAGACACACAUGAGGAGUGUAGGAGUGGAGGUUUAAUAGGCGAAAGAAAGAGAAAGGAAAAUAGCUCUCUCUCUCUCCAGUGAGAGAGAGAGGUCUUCUGAAAGGAAAGACUGGCCGGUGGCGGAUGCGCUGGAUUUUAUAGUCAGGCUGGAGAAGGUGGUGUCUGAUUUACAUAGUCUCACAGAUUGGUUUGAUAAGGUAUGAUGUUUACAUAGCACGUGGGGGAGGCUGGCUGCCCCACUCUAAUCUUAUGCAAAUGGGCUUUCCAGUUGACUGGCACCAUCUUGUCUGCUCCUUAGUGUACACAUGGAUGACAAAGAGAAGGGAAGAUGGAGCCACCGUCUUGAACAUGAUUGGCACAACAGCCAGCAUCUGUCUGCAGCUUGAUUUUACAGGCUGCUCUUUGUUAGAAAGGAAAAUAAUUUGGGGCUGCUUUUUAUUAAAAAGGAAAGCUUACCAAGGACUUCUGUACCUUCACUAUCUGCCUAAGUAAUUUCUUCUUAACUCUUGUAUCAAUGGCACUGGUGGGAGUGUAGUAGUGAGGACGACCACAUGUCACUCGCAUCGCCAUCUUGGUUUUGGUGGGUUUUAGCUGGCUUCUUUACUGCAACCUGCUUUAUCAGCAAGGUCUUUCUGACCUGUAUCUUGUGCCGACCUCCUAUCUCAUCCUGUGACUUAGAAUGCCUAACCAUAUGGGAAUGCAGCCCAGUAGGUCUCAGCCUUAACCCAGCCCCUAUUCAAGAUGGAGUUGCUCCGAUGCAAACACCUCUGACAAAAAUAUAUUCCUUUGGCAUAAGGAUUAUUUUGCACUGAUUAUUUUGUGACACUGCUCAAAAUAAUCAUAAGAACAUAUGUCUAUUAUUGCAGACAUCGGAAAAGCUCUGAAAACAGAGUGGGUUACCCCUUUGUAAAGGAAAUUUACAUAUAUAAAAGAAAUCUCCAUUUGUAUAAUAGGGUCUCCCUCUCUGAAUCAGGAAGAGAAGGGUAACUUAAUCACUAGAGCCUCUUAACAAUGGAAAAAGCAUUGACUUAAGUGUGCAUAGCAAACAUUAUCAUUUUGCCAUACUAUGUACUAUACCUGGAUACCUCUUCAUUUUGUUUAAGUUGAAGAUGGUAUUUAAGCCUGAACUCAAAGAUGCUUGUUUGAGAUUUACUCAUUUUCCCCCGGGUAUCUCCCACAUACACAGGAAGAAUACGUUUUUAAGCUUCUGUUGUUUUUUCUCUUGUUAAUUUGUAUUUUGCUGCUAGGGUUUGUCUCCAGUAAGUGCUAUGGUGGGUAUAGAGAAAAUUAAUUUUCUCUCCUAUAGUACUUGACAACACUUGGAAGCUUUUUCUUCUUCAUUGACAAUACAAUUGCCUAUUAGGGCAUUCUUUCUCUCUCUAUCUCUCCAUCCUCUGUCCCAAAACUUUGCUAAUUUAGGGGCCAAGGGAAAACUUCCCCUUUGCCCUCUGAGGUUUCACUGAAAAAUCAACUCACCGAAGGCAGAUUAAUUGGAGAAAAGGUGUAAAAAUUUAUUAGCAUUGCAAGUUGGGGAGAAUCACAGAGUGAUUGUUCAAUAUCCUAGUGGGGCCUCCAUACUUACAUAGCCUUAUUUCAGAGGGAAGAGGGAGAUGGGGAAUAUAGGUAAUUCUAUUGAGGGUCAAUCAAUGAUUACUAGUGAGAACAAGUGGAUGGAGGGGUAGGGAUAAAUUCAUAAAUCGUUCUCUUUAGAAAUGGAGUGAACCUGAGACAGGGACAUUAUCUUGUGAAUGGGUCUGUUCAGAUGUGGUUACAUUCUUGGGCUUCUUUUCUGCAAUAGAUAAGGAGAUAACAGGAAGGGGAAGGAAAAACUACGCUGUCCUCAGUCUGGUCUUUAUGUAGAUAGGGAAAACGUCUCUUUCAGUGUCUGUUAAUCUUUGAGGGUUUUUAACUCAAAAUACUCAUUGUACCAGGGAGGCAUAUUUUAGGGUGAAGUCCCUUGCAUUAUUUCACUAAACAUCACUUUUUUUUUUAAGUGUAGUGUUAAAUGCUACAGAGAAAAACAUGGGUGAGACAAGCCAGUUCUCUCAAGAAGCUCAAAUGGGUGAGACAGGCAUGGAAACACAAUAGCCUUAUGAUGAGAUGAGUUGCCCCCAUCACUGACUGAAUUAACCCUGAUCUCAGUCAAGGAAACCCCAGAGAGAGCUUAAAAACUGGAUUCCCUGCCACAGUAGAGAGAGAGUUCUGACACGUCUCAUUAUAACUCCAUCCUUAUGGAGUUUAGGCACAACUGACCAGCAUUAAUGUUAAAAUAAAGAUCAUAAUGUUACAGGAAA
RNAcentral lists this long non-coding RNA (2314 nucleotides) under Homo sapiens (human). Its description in RNAcentral is "non-protein coding lnc-NBEA-7:1". The record is from RNAcentral. Lineage: Eukaryota; Metazoa; Chordata; Mammalia; Primates; Hominidae.